GUGGGUCGUGCAGGAUUCGAACCUGCGACCAAUUGAUUAAAAGUCAACUGCUCUACCAACUGAGCUAACGACCC
This 74-nucleotide transfer RNA is filed under the name Candidatus Pantoea carbekii. RNAcentral's name for it is "tRNA-Lys". Lineage: Bacteria; Pseudomonadati; Pseudomonadota; Gammaproteobacteria; Enterobacterales; Erwiniaceae. The record is from RNAcentral.